RNAcentral lists this ribosomal RNA (253 nucleotides) under uncultured bacterium. RNAcentral's name for it is "partial 16S ribosomal RNA". It matches the Rfam family "Bacterial small subunit ribosomal RNA", at positions 524 to 776 of the family's 1533-position model. The record is from RNAcentral.
UACAGAGGGGGCAAGCGUUGUUCGGAAUUACUGGGCGUAAAGGGCGCGUAGGCGGCCUGUUAAGUCGAACGUGAAAUCCCUGGGCUCAACCCAGGAACUGCGUCCGAUACUGGCAGGCUUGAAUUCGGGAGAGGGAUGCGGAAUUCCAGGUGUAGCGGUGAAAUGCGUAGAUAUCUGGAGGAACACCGGUGGCGAAGGCGGCAUCCUGGACCGAUAUUGACGCUGAGGCGUGAAAGCCAGGGGAGCAAACGGG